RNAcentral lists this ribosomal RNA (440 nucleotides) under uncultured bacterium. RNAcentral's name for it is "partial 16S ribosomal RNA". It matches the Rfam family "Bacterial small subunit ribosomal RNA", at positions 338 to 795 of the family's 1533-position model. The record is from RNAcentral.
CCUACGGGAGGCAGCAGUGGGGAAUAUUGCACAAUGGGGGAAACCCUGAUGCAGCGACGCCGCGUGAGUGAGGAAGUAUUUCGGUAUGUAAAGCUCCAUCAGCAGGGAAGAAAAUGACGGUACCUGACUACGAAGCCCCGGCUAACUACGAGCCAGCAGCCGCGGUAAUACGGAGGGGGCCAGCGUUAUCCGGAUUUACUGGGUGUAAAGGGAGACUAGACGGCUAAUCAAGUCAGUAGUGAAACGCCAGGGCUCAAACUUGGGACUGCUUGUGAAACUGAGUCGCGAGAGUGCAGGAGAAGUAAGCGGAAUGCGUGGUGUAGCGGUGAAAUGCGUAGAUAUUAGGAGGAACACCAGUGGCGAAGGCGGCUUACUGGACUGUAACUGACGUUGAGGCUCGAAAGCGUGGGGAGCGAACAGGAUUAGAGACCCGAGUAGUC